AGUGAACGCUGGCGGUAGGCCUAACACAUGCAAGUCGAACGGCAGCACAGUAAGAGCUUGCUCUUACGGGUGGCGAGUGGCGGACGGGUGAGGAAUACAUCGGACUCUACUUUUUCGUGGGGGAUAACGUAGGGAAACUUACGCUAAUACCGCAUACGACCUACGGGUGAAAGCAGGGGAUCUUCGGACCUUGCGCGAUUGAAUGCGCCGAUGUCGGAUUAGCUAGUUGGCGGGGUAAAGGCCCACCAAGGCGACGAUCCGUAGCUGGUCUGAGAGGAUGAUCAGCCACACUGGAACGGAGACACGGUCCAGACUCCUACGGUAGGCAGCAGUGGGGAAUAUUGGACAAUGGGCGCAAGCCUGAUCCAGCCAUACCGCGUGGGUGAAGAAGGCCUUCGGGUUGUAAAGCCCUUUUGUUGGGAAAGAAAAGCAGCAGGUUAAUACCCCGCGGUUCUGACGGUACCCAAAGAAGAAGCACCGGCUAACUUCGUG
RNAcentral lists this ribosomal RNA (492 nucleotides) under uncultured bacterium. Its description in RNAcentral is "partial 16S ribosomal RNA". It matches the Rfam family "Bacterial small subunit ribosomal RNA", at positions 29 to 507 of the family's 1533-position model. The record is from RNAcentral.